UGCGGAGUAGUUUGUGUUGGUACAAACGCCGGUCUCUGAAACCGGAAUGCAAAGGUUCGAGUCCUUUCUCCGCAG
RNAcentral lists this transfer RNA (75 nucleotides) under Kouleothrix aurantiaca. It matches the Rfam family "tRNA". From Rfam's summary of the family: Transfer RNA (tRNA) molecules are approximately 80 nucleotides in length. Their secondary structure includes four short double-helical elements and three loops (D, anti-codon, and T loops). Lineage: Bacteria; Bacillati; Chloroflexota; Chloroflexia; Chloroflexales; Roseiflexaceae. The record is from Rfam by way of RNAcentral.